This 468-nucleotide ribosomal RNA is filed under the name uncultured bacterium. RNAcentral describes it as "partial 16S ribosomal RNA". It matches the Rfam family "Bacterial small subunit ribosomal RNA", at positions 28 to 507 of the family's 1533-position model. The record is from RNAcentral.
GACGAACGCUGGCGGCGUGCUUAACACAUGCAAGUCGAACGGAAAGGCCCUGCUUUUGUGGUGUGCUCGAGUGGCGAACGGGUGAGUAACAAGUGAGUAACCUGCCCUUGACUUUGGGAUAACUUCAGGAAACUGGGGCUAAUACCGGAUAGGAGCUCCUGCUGCAUGGUGGGGGUUGGAAAGUUUCGGCGGUUGGGGAUGGACUCGCGGCUUAUCAGCUUGUUGGUGGGGUAGUGGCUUACCAAGGCUUUGACGGGUAGCCGGCCUGAGAGGGUGACCGGCCACAAUGGGACUGAGAUACGGCCCAGACUCCUAUGGGAGGCAGCAGUGGGGAAUAUUGCGCAAUGGGCGGAAGCCUGAUGCAGCAACGCCGCGUGCGGGAUGACGGCCUUCGGGUUGUAAACCGCUUUCGCCUGUGACGAAGCGUGAGUGACGGUAAUGGGUAAAGAAGCACCGGCUAACUACGUG